AGAUGAAAAUUUACAUGCCGUCACCAAACUCUCCUCUCCCCCAAUCCCCACAGCCGCCACACCGGUCCUCCUCCCACCUCCCUUCUCGCCGUCGUGAGUCGUGACCCUCCGUUCUCUUCUCCUACACCGCUCCUUCACGUCGGCAUGUUCGCACCUAGCACCUCGUCCACCCCCAAUCAUCUUUGUUGCGCAAGACCGCAGAAGGACGAACGGCGGCGGUCCGAGCGCCGCCUCCUUCGCCAGCGGCAACGGUGAACACGGGAGCAGCGGCCCCGUUCGCCCGUUCCAAGGUGAGGAACGGACCCCCUCGACCUGUCCUCUGCGGCGCCGCUCCCCUUCCUCCGUUUCCUUGAUCGCCGGCGGUGGGAGGAUACCCGGGGGAACAGAGGAGGGAGUUGGACAAUGGGGUGAAGAGGCGCAAGUCAAGCAGGAGGUGGGCAUCACCGGAGGAGCACAACCGCAUGGGGAGCGGAGGAGGUCGAUGCAGGGGGCUCAAUAGGAUGGUUAGAGAGCGCGCAGCAUCUUGUGAGACAAGUCGUCUGCUAAGCAGAGGAUGCAGCAGCGCUGGCUCCUCCUCUCCCCACGCUAUCGCCUUCCUGCGUCGUCAUUGCCGCCACGGCCUUGCUCGCCAUCGACCUCCCCGAGUGCUUCUCUCCGCUACAUCCCCCUUUCCACGAGUUCUUGCCUUCAAUGCUAAGGUGAAAUGGCUCCUUCCGUAUUUGCCUGUAAGCUAUUCGAUGAAAUGCUUGCGUCACAACGAGUUCUUUUUCUUCAGUUUAUUCUUCCUGCUGCUAGGUCUUAGUUCUCUCAUUGACCUUGCCUGAUUUUCUCGUGGGUCUUGCAUUUGAAGCUCACGUGAAUGGCCUUUCCUUUAUCUUAUCUAUAUUAUAGUACUGUUUAAUGAAAUGUUAUGCCCGAACGAGUUCUUUCCUAUGGAAAUCAUGGGAUAUGAUAGGGGCUGUGAGGAUGUUGUUUAGUGUGAACUGCAUCUUUUUUGUUGGUGGUGGAGUUCUUUGAGCAUUGCUUAACUUGAAUGAUACAACUACUCAGCUGGGUGGCCUGAGAGCAUCGGGGUUAGGCCUCCAAAUGGCUCUUUUUGGUUGCGAUGGGGUGAGAUGCAGGUGAGGGUGAGGAGGCCAACGACAGGGUGAAGCAGCAGCCCAGCGAGUACUGCGAGCAGCAUGACGUUUUGCAUGUUCUCUUUCCUUGUUCUUCUUGUGGCUUUUUUCUUCAUCUCAUCAUUGACCAAUUCAUUGUUUAUGUGUGUAUCUAUUCUCUCCUUUUUUUAUUCGCAUGAACUGAUGUGCGUACAAGGUAAGCUUAUUCUUCUCUCCAGAUUUCAUGGAUGAGUUAAUGGUCUUGGUUAUAUGGUUUAUUCAGUCCACCUAAAGGAACAAAGUUUGCACCCUUUGACUGGUUUUAUUCGAAAAUUUUACAGAAAAAAUUAUGUCGUGAUCUCUCUACUUCCACAUGACCGUUGUUGGUCCAAGUAGCAUAUUGUUGUCUCAUGUCUGUUGCGGUUUGUAGCUUAGAUUUUUAAGACUGGGCACUGUAGUGUUGUCUGUUAUGGCUGAUUGAUAAAAUGUGUAUGUUCUUUCUCAGUAGGUACAUAUGCAAAUUUAUCUUUUUGUUGGUUGUUUUUUGCUUCUUGCAGCAUCCCGGGUACAUAUGUGAGGCUAUGGGAAUCCUUUUUUCGUGUGAUGAUGAGAGGAAUAUGACAGGCGAAACAACCAAUUGUACCAUGUGAACACAAUUGCUGGGGGAUAAGCUGGUCAAUGCGCCAAAAUCUGAAAGAAAGCGACUAAAAUCAACAUUUGAAGAUGUUCAAAAUCAAAUAGGAUGGCUACCUGAAGUACGAUCCUCAGAAAUCAUAAGAAGCAGCAGUUAUUGGUACAUAAAUGAACAGAAGGUUUUGAGUACUAAAUAGAAACGCUUGGAUCUGGGUCAGCCGGGAUCCGGUUGAUGCUGCCAUGGAGGAGCUCUCCACCGGUAGAGUGGCAAGGGCGAGCGUGUGAGCCGCUGGUGGAGCUCGAGGUGCUGGGGCACGACGGCGGUGUGCUGGUUUGACGCCCGACUCUAGGACGUGAUGGUCCGGUAUGGCCGCCUCCACAGGGCCGGGGACAGGUGCGCGCGCUCGCCGCGGAGGGAACGAGAGCUGCCCCCACUCCUUUUGUUCCCCAUCGUCGGCCUCUCCUCAUCCUUGGCAUCGUUGCUCGCGGAGGAGAGAGAGAAGGAGGCGGCGGCGACAAAAAGAAUGAGGGGGUUAGGGGAGGAGGCAGGGAUUGGGGGAGGUCGGGGGAAAGAGGAGGCUGGGGUUCCUAACAUUGUGUAUGUGUGUAUUAUUGGGGCUUUGCUACAUCAGUAGGUUUGAAUUGAUGGCUAGAAAUACAGAGUGCCAUUUUGUCUUAUGGAGUGAUAAUUAAGCAGCCAUACAUAGCUGCAAAAAGGAUUGCUCAAAUGAAACAAGUUGCUAAUUUUA
Triticum dicoccoides is the source of this 2479-nucleotide long non-coding RNA. RefSeq lists it as uncharacterized. The transcript has 4 exons. Lineage: Eukaryota; Viridiplantae; Streptophyta; Magnoliopsida; Poales; Poaceae. The record is from RefSeq and is a predicted model, not a curated record.